Molecule: ribosomal RNA, 498 nt
Filed under: uncultured bacterium
Lineage: Bacteria
Description: partial 16S ribosomal RNA
Rfam family: Bacterial small subunit ribosomal RNA
Source: RNAcentral
AUUGAACGCUGGCGGCAUGCCUUACACAUGCAAGUCGAACGGUAACAGGUCUUCGGAUGCUGACGAGUGGCGAACGGGUGAGUAAUACAUCGGAACGUGCCUAGUAGUGGGGGAUAACUACUCGAAAGAGUGGCUAAUACCGCAUGAGAUCUACGGAUGAAAGCGGGGGAUCGCAAGACCUUGUGCUACUCGAGCGGCCGAUGGCAGAUUAGGUAGUUGGUGGGAUAAAAGCUUACCAAGCCGACGAUCUGUAGCUGGUCUGAGAGGACGAUCAGCCACACUGGGACCGAGAAACGGCCCAGACUCCUACGGGAGGCAGCAGUGGGGAAUUUUGGACAAUGGGCGCAAGCCUGAUCCAGCAAUGCCGCGUGCAGGAUGAAGGCCUUCGGGUUGUAAACUGCUUUUGUACGGAACGAAAAGCCCCGGGUUAAUACCCUGGGGUCAUGACGGUACCGUAAGAAUAAGCACCGGCUAACUACGUGCCAGCAGCCGCCGUAA